This 478-nucleotide ribosomal RNA is filed under the name uncultured bacterium. RNAcentral describes it as "partial 16S ribosomal RNA". It matches the Rfam family "Bacterial small subunit ribosomal RNA", at positions 28 to 507 of the family's 1533-position model. The record is from RNAcentral.
GAUGAACGCUGGCGGCGUGCCUAACACAUGCAAGUCGAACGAAAUGCAGCCUUUAAAACCUUCGGGUCAAAGAGUGUAAUACUAGUUGCGGAACGGGGGGUUAAGACUGGGUCAACCUGGCUCUUCGGGGGGGUUAACAGUGAGAAAUUUCGUCUAAUACCGCAUAAGCACACGCUCCCGCAUGUCAGGGGGUGAAAAGAGAGGUGGUAUGAGAUGGACCCGCGUCUGAUUAGCCAGUUGGCAGGGUAAGGGCCUACCAAAGCGACGAUCAGUAGCCGAUCUGAGAGGAUGAACGGCCACAUUGGGACUGAGACACGGCCCAAACUCCUACGGGAGGCAGCAGUGGGGGAUAUUGCACAAUGGGGGGAACCCUGAUGCAGCGACGCCGCGUGAGUGAAGAAGUAUUUCGGUAUGUAAAGCUCUAUCAGCAGGGAAGAUAAUGACGGUACCUGAAUAAGAAGCCCCGGCUAACUACGUG